UUGAAACACCGAUUCCAGUAUGAUCACCGAAGUUAAGCAAUGUCAGACCUGGUCCGUACCUAAGUGGGUGACCGCUUGGGAAUACUAAGUGCUGUUA
Molecule: non-coding RNA, 97 nt
Organism: Acanthosepion pharaonis
Lineage: Eukaryota; Metazoa; Mollusca; Cephalopoda; Sepiida; Sepiidae
Source: the annotation of a GenBank genome assembly